AUCUUAUAGUCAACAAUGACAUUAAAUUGCAAAUUUAAAAGUAAAAAAAAAUUUUUAAGAUUUU
RNAcentral lists this transfer RNA (64 nucleotides) under Discolomatidae sp. 3 ACP-2013. Its description in RNAcentral is "tRNA-Cys". Lineage: Eukaryota; Metazoa; Arthropoda; Insecta; Coleoptera; Discolomatidae. The record is from RNAcentral.